This is a long non-coding RNA of Alosa sapidissima (American shad), 714 nucleotides long. RefSeq lists it as uncharacterized. The transcript has 3 exons. Lineage: Eukaryota; Metazoa; Chordata; Actinopteri; Clupeiformes; Clupeidae. The record is from RefSeq and is a predicted model, not a curated record.
AUGAAAAGAUGUCGUAGCAUAGUUUGACCUCAGGGUGGCGCAUGCGCCCCAUAUUCAGCUGUUGUUAUGCCAACGUCAGUUUGUCGUUACGCUUUCAUACUGGAGAAAAAACCCAAGCCUAACGUCCGAAAGGAAAAAAAGGUACUAAAUACUUUGUAGUGAAAUUCAAUAUUAAUUAGUUAUUUUAUAUCAAAGAUCAACCCAGAAGUGAAAACCAACUUGAAGCCAGUGCUCAACGUUAUACUUUUCACCACGAAGCUCCGAUCAACCCAGAAGUCAAAACCGACGUGAAGCCAGUGCUCAACGUAAUGCUUUUCACCACAUUGGUUUUUUUAUUGACUCCCGACCAGAACCGAUUCUGAACCGUGCAGUUCAGUGGCGAGCCAACCCGAGAUCGUAGACAGACCCCUACCCACCGGUGUGGCCAGCCGGAGAGCGAGGAUUUGCCUACAAAGAUUGAAUUGACUGACUUGACUGACUGACCACCAAAUCUCAACCGGAUUCCAGAUAAGAUCUUUUAAGAUUGUGCACACUGAAAGAGACAUUGAUUCACACAUUCAAGAACUUUCAUUCACACACACACACACACACACACACACACACACACACACACACAUUUUAUUUAUUUUGUUUUUUGGGGAAUUUAAUUUUAUAUUACUGUCUGCACUUUAUAGUGCUCCGAUCUGUAGACAAUAAAAUUGUCACCUGUUCAAU